Molecule: ribosomal RNA, 462 nt
Filed under: uncultured bacterium
Lineage: Bacteria
Description: partial 16S ribosomal RNA
Rfam family: Bacterial small subunit ribosomal RNA
Source: RNAcentral
UGGGGAAUAUUGGACAAUGGGCGCAAGCCUGAUCCAGCCAUGCCGCGUGAGUGAUGAAGGCCUUAGGGUUGUAAAGCUCUUUCGCCGGUGAAGAUAAUGACGGUAACCGGAGAAGAAGCCCCGGCUAACUUCGUGCCAGCAGCCGCGGUAAUACGAAGGGGGCUAGCGUUGCUCGGAAUCACUGGGCGUAAAGCGCACGUAGGCGGAUCGUUAAGUCAGGGGUGAAAUCCUGGAGCUCAACUCCAGAANUGCCCUUGAUACUGGCGAUCUCGAGUUCGAGAGAGGUUGGUGGAACUCCGAGUGUAGAGGUGAAAUUCGUAGAUAUUCGGAAGAACACCAGUGGCGAAGGCGGCCAACUGCUCGAUGCUGACGCUGAGGUGCGAAAGCGUGGGGAGCAAAACAGGAUUUAGAUACCCCUGGUAGUCCACGCCGUAAAACCGAUGGAUGCUAGCCGUUGGGGGG